This 460-nucleotide ribosomal RNA is filed under the name uncultured bacterium. RNAcentral's name for it is "partial 16S ribosomal RNA". It matches the Rfam family "Bacterial small subunit ribosomal RNA", at positions 338 to 795 of the family's 1533-position model. The record is from RNAcentral.
CCUACGAGCGGCAGCAGUGAGGAAUAUUGGUCCAUGGGCGCGAGCCUGAACCAGCCAAGUAGCGUGAAGGAUGACUGCCCUACGGGUUGUAAACUUCUUUUAUAAAGGAAUAAAGUGAGGCACGUGUGCCUUUUUGUAUGUCCUUUAUGAAUAAGGAUCGGCUAACUCCGUGCCAGCAGCCGCGGUAAUACGGAGGAUCCGAGCGUUAUCCGGAUUUAUUGGGUUUAAAGGGAGCGUAGAUGGGUUGUUAAGUCAGUUGUGAAAGUUUGCGGCUCAACCGUAAAAUUGCAAUUGAUACUGGCAGUCUUGAGUACAGUUGAGGUAGGCGGAAUUCGGGGUGUAGCGGUGAAAUGCUUAGAUAUCACGAAGAACUCCGAUUGCGAAGGCAGCUUACUAAACUGCCACUGACAUUGAUGCUCGAAAGUGUGGGUAUCAAACAGGAUUAGAUACCCGUGUAGUC